RNAcentral lists this transfer RNA (75 nucleotides) under Puniceicoccales bacterium. RNAcentral describes it as "tRNA-Arg". It matches the Rfam family "tRNA". From Rfam's summary of the family: Transfer RNA (tRNA) molecules are approximately 80 nucleotides in length. Their secondary structure includes four short double-helical elements and three loops (D, anti-codon, and T loops). Further hydrogen bonds mediate the characteristic L-shaped molecular structure. tRNAs have two regions of fundamental functional importance: the anti-codon, which is responsible for specific mRNA codon recognition, and the 3' end, to which the tRNAs corresponding amino acid is attached (by aminoacyl-tRNA synthetases). tRNAs cope with the degeneracy of the genetic code in two manners: having more than one tRNA (with a specific anti-codon) for a particular amino acid; and 'wobble' base-pairing, i.e. permitting non-standard base-pairing at the 3rd anti-codon position. Lineage: Bacteria; Pseudomonadati; Verrucomicrobiota; Opitutia; Puniceicoccales. The record is from RNAcentral.
GCUUUCGUAGUUCAAUGGAUAGAACUGCGGUUCCCUAAACCGUCAAUCCCGGUUCGAAUCCGGGCGAGAGCGCCA